Molecule: long non-coding RNA, 5064 nt
Organism: Astyanax mexicanus (Mexican tetra)
Lineage: Eukaryota; Metazoa; Chordata; Actinopteri; Characiformes; Acestrorhamphidae
Exons: 2
Source: RefSeq, a predicted model, not a curated record
UUAUUUAGUAUUAAAAAUACAUCCUAUUUUUAAAGGUACUGUUGGUGAAUUGAACAGAUGUUUUAUGGUCUUAAAACAUCCUGCAUUUACAUAUGCAUCACAUGCAUCAUCAGCAUAUACAGCUCUGAAAAAAAUAAGAGACCACUUAAAAAUGAUUUUACCAAAUUGAAAAGAGGAAGAUGGAUCAUCACAUGCCAUCAGAGCAAGCUGAAAUGCCUAAUUGUUUUUUUUCCAAAAGCAGUGUGUAAGACUGGUGGAGGAGAACAUGCCAAGAUGCGUGAAAACUGUGACUAAAAACCAGGAUUAUUCCACCACAUAUUGAUUUCUAAACUCUUAAAACUUUAUGAAUAUGAACUUGUUUUCUUUGCAUUAUUGGAGAUCUGAAAGCUCUGCAUCUUUUUUGUUAUUUCAGCCAUUUCUCACUUUCUGAAAAAAAAAUGCUCUAAAUGACAAUAUUUUUAUUUGGAAUUUGAGAGAAAUGUUGUCUGUAGUUUAUAGAAUAAAACAACAAUGUUCAUUUUACUCAAACAUAAACCUAUAAAUAGAAAAAUCUGAAGUGGUUUCUAUUUUUUUCCAGAGCUGUAAGUAAUUACCACAGUCCCUUUAGCAUGUUAAAAAGUUUAAAACUUUUAAAACAUUGAUGCCUAUUUUCUGUUUGUAGUGGGCCAGGGGCCAAAAGCAUUUUUUUUUAAUUCACUAAAAAUAUACUUUAAGUAAAGUAAAAAAAACUGUAAAGCACAACACAAUAUUUUGUUAAUAAAAUAUGCUUAAUUAAAAUCAUAUCAUAUAUAUGCAUUUAUAAAAAUGUUUUUCACUUUGUGUGUGGGGGGUGGUUUAUAGUCACAUUUGGGCAGCCCUGUUUUAUAAGUACUAAACUUGACAUGAUUUGUGUUCUUGUUUUUAUUCACCACCUCAGACUCUUAGAUCUCAGACAUUUUUCAGAGAUUUUCAGCGAGUUUCUGUAGAAUUUUACAUUUUACACUAAACCUCAUUCAAUGACUACUUUACGUCUUGAUUUACUUAUACAGAAGAUUUGAAACGGGUAGAAUUCCUCUAUAAGGUAUAAUGUGAGUAUGAAUGUGUCUGUGUGUGUGUGUCUGUGUGUGUAUGUAUGUAUGUACGCAUGUGUGUGUCCAUAUUUAUGCAAGGUACAGCACAUACUGUGUCUGGUUCAGAGUAGAGCAUGUGGGAUCUCAGUAGCUGAAACUAUUUCCAGUAAUUAUCGUUCUGAUUCUUAAACGUUGCGUCAGUCAGCUGGCGAAUAAUAAGGAAUAUAGAGUAGGAUAUCUGAAAAACAGUACGGACGUAGGGUAGGACUUUUUGCUACGACCAGUGCCCUUUACUCGCGUCUUCAGAGUCUGAGGAAUUGUUGACAAUGUGAAUCCAGUCUAAUCCCUUUAGUCAAGGCAAAGCUCUGUCUGCGUUCUUAAGUUCUACAUAACGGUCUCCUCAUCCACCACAACCAUACAGAACAGUUUCCAUACACUCAUAUCUGAGCUGGCCAACUCCAUUGGAUCCUGGUGGUCCUCAAGCUACUCAAUUUGUAACCAAUGAGAUCCUGUAAACCACACUGCUUUACUUUCAUGACUACAAUACUGUCGUAACUAACAUCAGUUUCAAAGGCCCUAAACUAGAACCCUGUGGGAUUCCUCAAACUAAUUCACAAUGGUUUCUGCAUAAGGAUUGAUGACUGAAUAAUAAACUACAAUAAUAUCCCAGUGAACUGAGUUCCAAAGGCCCUAAACUAGACACUCACAAUAGUUUUAACAUAAGGAUUGAUAAAUGAAUAAUAAACUACAUUAAUGUCCUAGUUAACCAAGUUUUAAAAGCCCUAAAUUAGAUCCCUGUGGGACUCAUUAAACAAAUUCACAAUCGUUUCUGCAUAAGGAUUGAUGACUGAAUAAUAAACUACAAUAAUAUCCCAGUGAACUGAGUUCCAAAGGCCCUAAACUAGACACUCACAAUAGUUUUAACAUAAGGAUUGAUAAAUGAAUAAUAAACUACAUUAAUGUCCUAGUGAACUAAUUUUGAAGACCCUAAACAAGAACCCUGUGGGAUUCCUCAAACAAAUUCACAAUGGUUUCUGCAUAAGGAUUGAUGACUGAAUAAUAAACUACAUUAAUGUUGUCCUAGUAAACUGAGUUUCAAAGGCCAUAAACUAGAACCCUGUGGGACUUAUCAAACAAAUUCACAAUUGUUUCUGUAUAAGUGUUGAUGAAUGAAUAAUAAACUACAUUCAUGUUCUAGUGUACAAAGUUUCAAAGGCCCUAAACUAGAACCCUGUGGGACUCCUCAAACUAAUUCACAAUUGUUUCUGCAUAAGAAUUGAUGAAGGAAUAAUAAACUACAAUAAUAUCCCAGUGAACUAAGCUCCAAAGGCCCUAAACUAGAACUCUGUGGGAUUCCACAAACUAAUUCACUGAAUAAUAAUCCAAGGGUUUAAGGGGUAAAUACCCUGUAAAUUGUGGAGCCACAUAUGUAAAAUUAUGGUUGUAGAUCAACUCUGACAGACCAUCUCCAGGAAAAGGGAUUUGGUGGCAAAUCGUGCACUUCAUCACAAGUUUUAAAUAUGGUUGUAUACUUUAGGUUUGUUGUUUUUUUAAAAGGGGAAUUCAAUGAGCAUUUACUGUUUCUCUGUAGUUUUGUUCAGAACAUUGUUUGGUCGGACUGGGUGCGUUAGAUUUGUUAGGCAGUGCUUCAGUUCUGUCAAAAGCCGGCUCUCCAGGCUGCUCAGGCUUUAGGGUGUAACAGGGUUGACGUUUGUGGUGAGUCUCGUAGCAACUGAGGCCACGUUUUGAGGCCAUUGUUCAGGGACAUGUUGAGGCCUGUACAGUUACCUCUUUGAAUCAGUGUUAGUACUGAAACUGGGCCUUUCGCUGCUUCAUUCUCAUAACAGUACAUUCCCCACCCUUGAGGAAACACCCCAGCAUUCUUCAACCUUGCCUGCUGUAACUGUAGUGUAGGAUUUGCUGUUAUUGGGUGGGUAGAGUGUUCUCUCUCUCUCUCUCUCUCUCUCUCUCUGACCAUUCAGGCUAAGCACAGCCACUAUGAUCAGGACAUUGCCGGUUCGAAUCCUGUUCAUGCAGCUUGCCAUCAGCUACUGGAGCCCUGAGAGAGCACAAUUGGUCUUGCUCUCUCUGGGUAGGUAGAUGGCGCUCUCUCCUCUCAUCACUCUAAAGGGUGAUGUCUCUCAGCACAAGGCGUCUGUGAGCUGAUGUCGCUGCGCUUUCCUCCGAGCACGCUGUGAUGCUAGAGUGCAAUGCUGCAUCAGCAGCAGAUGAAAAAGAGGCGGUGUCUGACUUCACAUAUAUCGGAGGAAGCAUGUGCUAGUCUUCACCCUCCUGGUCUUAAUGAGUGGGUUGGUCAGUUGGCCGUGUAAAUUGGGGAGAAACAACUCUUUAAGCACCCAAUACGUCAUCAGGAGCUCUAAAGUUCAGUAACCUAGCUGCUGCUGCUGGUUAACUAGCUAACUUUAGGCUUUAUUGUAUGUCUUCAGAAAGGGGGCAGGUGGUGCAGAAAUUAAUUAUUAUUGUCCAUUCCAUAAAUCCUCUAUGAUGGGAAGCUGAAAUAAUUAGCUUUGAUUCACUUUUAUUUUAUUUUUCCCUGCCGCCUUAAAUGCUGCAGCCCCUGCAGUCUGUUCCCUGAUUUAAGGUGGAACGGGAAUUUAGCUAGUUAGCUAGCUAACUACUGAGACAAACUACUAGCGAUCUUUUUUUUUUCCUUGUUAGGAAGAAUUCAGCCAUAAAACAUUGAAACUACACAUGUUAAUAUAGUGCUACUCGUCACUUUUAAGUCUGCGAAAAAUAUUUCACACUUCUACUUAUUGAUAAAACUCUUGCAUCCGGACUGCUUUUGAAAAAACAGGAGGACCAGUGAGUUUUUUUGUUUUUGCUUUUUCAGUCACAUGACAUUGCGUUCAGUAGCUCCUCCAUUUCCACUGGCUGUUGUGUUUAUAUGGAUCUUCGUGAAAAUGCCCAAAGUGUAAUUACAGUGCAUGGUAGUGGACAAAUAGCUAUUUUAUUAAACGCGAGGUGACUAAACUGAGAGAUGUGAGUUCGGACGGGACUAAAAUUACCGGAGGACCACGGAGUUCAGUGAAAAACAGUAGGUAAUUCAGCUUGUAAUUUUCUCAGAGGACGUCUGCAAAAAAAAAACUGCCAAGAGUCAGUGCAUGGGGGGGUAAAAAUGUGGGGUAAAAUUUGAAACCAAAAGAACUUCACACUCUAUUACAGACACAGUUCCUAUGUAGCAUGCUUAAAUAACUAUUUGACCUGUUAAACCAUAUGUUUAUCACUCAGUUAACAAUCCUUAUGCAGAAACUGUUUUUAUUAACAGUAUGAAUUAGUAUAUCUUGUAUUGUACCACAGGGGGUUCUAUUUUAGGGCCAAUAAAACGAUAAAAAGACAAUUGUCACAGUAAUGUAGUCAUGAGAGGGUGUGAAUUGUGAACUACAGGCUCCAAGGGUUAAAACACCUUUAUGUGUGAGACUGCAGAUACAGGUCAGUUUGGAGACCGGUGCCGUAUUCCUUUAAGCUGCUGAGUUUUUGUUUUUUUCUACUUUCCACUCAACGCUUUUUGUUUUCAUUUGCUUCCCAGUAUUACGCUACUUUUGCUGAUAUGUCUUGAAGGUACAAGGUUUAGAGUGGUGUAUGUGUGAGAGAAAGUGUGUGUGUGUGUGUGUGUGUGUAUAUAUGUGUGUGUGUGUGUAUAUAUGUGUGUGAGUAUAAGUGUGUGUGUCAGAGUCAGAGCUUUGUCUUUUUUAUCCAUAACUAUGCAGUGAAUAAGUACAAGGGAAGAAUUUCCUACAUGGUAACACUCCUCCUCCUUCUCCUCCAAAUGGUAAUGCUACCUAUUUCAAGUGUGUGUGUGUGUGUGUGUGUGUGCGCGUGUGUGUGUGUGUGUGUGCGCACAUGUGUGUAUGUUUUGUUUGUGUCCUUUAAACCUAAACUUCCUGUCCGACUGUCUCUCUUUCUGCCUUGUAGCACUUUGCAAAAGGCAAUUCAUCAUAUUUUGUAAUAUUUACCAAGGUGUGAAUAAAAACUUGAUGGUUGCAUCAGUCAUAAA